This 278-nucleotide ribosomal RNA is filed under the name Chromera velia. RNAcentral describes it as "partial Bacterial large subunit ribosomal RNA". It matches the Rfam family "Bacterial large subunit ribosomal RNA", at positions 2001 to 2278 of the family's 2925-position model. Lineage: Eukaryota; Chromeraceae. The record is from RNAcentral.
GUAACGAUGGCCACACUGUCUCCACCCGAGACUCAGUGAAAUUGAAAUCGCUGUUAAGAUGCAGUGUACCCGCGGCUAGACGGAAAGACCCCGUGAACCUUUACUACAGCUUCACACGGGACUUUGACGUUAUUUGUGUAGGAUAGCUGGGAGACUUUGAAGCGCGCUCGCUAGGGUGCGUGGAGUCGUCCUUGAAAUACCAGCCUGGUAACGUUGGGGUUCUAACCCAGGUCCAUUAUCUGGAUCGGGGACAGUGUGUGGUGGGUAGUUUGACUGGG